RNAcentral lists this transfer RNA (84 nucleotides) under Fidelibacterota bacterium. Its description in RNAcentral is "tRNA-Leu". It matches the Rfam family "tRNA". From Rfam's summary of the family: Transfer RNA (tRNA) molecules are approximately 80 nucleotides in length. Lineage: Bacteria; Pseudomonadati; Fidelibacterota. The record is from RNAcentral.
GCCGGUGUGGCGGAAUUGGUAGACGCGGUGGAUUCAAAAUCCAUUGUUCGCAAGGACGUGCUGGUUCGAUUCCAGUCAUCGGUA